GUAUACCCUGUUUUAUCCUUGUUGUUGGUGUUUCUUGCGCAUGCGCACAAAGCACGGUGAUAGUUACGGUUACUGACUCAGGAACCUUGUAUAUUAUAUACGUUUAAUAAACUGGAUCCUUGUUGUGUUCAGUUAUCGAUACACUACGAUGGAAUUACGGACCAGUUUAACAUAAACAUGGUAAAUAGAUAGACAGCUGAUAAUCAUAAUUGAUUAAGAAAUAACCUGGAAGAAGAAAUGAGUUAACUAUUGAUUAUAAACAGAGACGAGAAUGCCAUCGUGUUUGUUCUGCUAAAAAAAGCAGGAACAUUGGAGUUUAUGGUUAGAUUUUAAAUAUUUAUUGUCUCCAAACUGGGUAAAUUUGAUAUAGUAACAACCCCCCCCCUUUUUUUUAAAUAACUCGAGAACCACACAUCUCGCUCUCGCUUAACAAAGUAACAAUAAGAAAUAAUUAUUGUUAGUUUCAAGAAUAAUUAAUCGUCAAAACUUAUCCCCUCCCCGACAUCAAAGGAAGUUAAAUGUAUUAUCCCAAAAUUAGACCAAAUUAUUAUGAUAUAAGGACGUCUUGACAGGCUAUUAUUUUAUUUUGUUUUGUUGGGUUUUUUUUUUUGCUUUGACGUCUUCCUCCUGUAUGAAAAAAACAUAAUAGACCCCCCCCCCCUUUUUCCCCAUAAUAUAGCUUUUUAAGAAGUCAUAAUUAUUUGGACUACCCCUGAAUAUAUUUCAGACAGACUCUUCUCUAAAAAAAUGUAAACAUGAUUUGAGAGAAAUCUUUGGAAUAGUUUUUUAAAUGAUUUAAUUAUUAUGUCAUGUAUAUAAUUAACAUUAACAUAGUUAUAAACUGAGACUACUAGUAUAACACAUAGUGUUAUAGUAGUCUCAGCUAUAAACUUUCCAUUGUAUUGACCAAUAUGACUAACUCAUAUGCUCUUUCCCAUAAAUGUCACAAUAUCAAUAUAUUACAGUAAAACUGAUAGUUUGAUGACAUUGUUUAAGACUAUUGACCUCAGGUCAGCCUAAACUGAGUUUAAAACUGUAAUUUAUUCAUUAAAACAGUUCAAGACAUGUACCUUCUGAAAUGUGAUUGCAUCAAAAUUAAACCUAAGCAUAAGCAUAACAUACUUAGUGUGCAGGAAGUGCCACCAAAUAAAUACUGAUUUGUAAAAUUAGAUGAUGAUAUUUGUGAAGUCAAAGAUAUUAUAGCUAGUUAUAACUGGUUUUAGAUAUAAAUCUGAGUAAAAGGUUGAUUUAUAUGUGCUCUUUCAUGUUUAGAUUAUAAUUUAAAUUUAAUCUUUUGAAGUUUUUUUUAUAAUAUUAAGACAUUAAAAUCACAAUUAUUUAUUUAUACACAAAAAAAUAAUUUUUUGUCCUUUUUUAGUUGAAUGACUGUACACAAACAUUAUACACACAUAAUUUUGAUAAUUCUGUAAUGUUUUUUUUUUCUAUAGCCCCAGAAUGUGACAAAAGACUUAUUAAUCCAGAUUUACAAAAAAUAGAAAUAGUUCAGCUACCAUAAGACUGCUAUGACAAAAAUUUUGCAGUUUCCAGAAUUUGAGGUAGAGUAUAGUUAGGAAUAGUUUGAUUAUGCAGAUGCUUAGUUUGCCAUAAACAAUUAUGCCCUUGAUACAAAAGCAGAGGAAACAAAAAAGUAUGAAAAUAGUUGAAAAAAGUAAUCAUUAUUACCUAGUCAUAUACUGUAAAUAGAAAAAGAGAAAAGCACUGGUUAUGAUUUGGUAUUUUUAAUAGCAUUAUCAUUUGUCCAUAACUUGGAAUAUAUACUGGAUUGAGCUUGACAUUUAUUUAAUAUCAUUGACACAUGGUUGCAAGAAAUGAAAGAUGGUAAUUUAAACCUAGCAAUUUUAUUAAGAUUUAAAAAAAAAGCUUUUGAUUUGGUAGAAUAUGACUUUCUUUGUUUAAAGCUCGACAUGUAUGGAUUUAGUGAGACUACUGUUAGUUUUUUUAAGUCGUACCUGAAUAACAAAAGGUAUACAUUUGUAAUGUUAACUCUGAACAACAACAUGUAAAAUUUGGUGUUCCCCAAUGUUCUAUACCUUGUCCUCUAUUGUUUGUGCUAUUUAUAAAUGACCUUCCCUUAUGCAUUAAAAAUUGUGAAACAGACCUAUAUCGUUGUUGUAUAUGCUGAUGAUGACACCACUAUUCAUAAAUCAGGGGGAAACAUCUAGAAAAUAUAAAUGAUGAUGUUCAAGAAGAUUUAUACAGGGUUGAAGAGUGGUGUAAAAUGAAUAACAUGUUCAUAGAUGCAAAUGAAACAAAAUGUUUGAUUACUGGAACAAAGCAGAAACUAUUCAGACUUUUCAACCAAACUUGAUAAUAAAUUAAAGUAUUACAAAAUUCUUCAUGUGAAAAAAAUAUUAGUUUCAAAAUUGACAGCCCACUAAGUAACUGGAGAAAUCAAAUUGACCAAGGUUGUGCUAAUAUAUCAUCCAGAAUAUACCAUCUUUCUUAAAUACAUUUUUUUUUUAUAUAACUGCAAGAAAACAUAAUACAAUGGGUGUUCUGCCCCUAAUUGACUACUGUUGUAUUAUUUGGGAUGAAUGUAAAAAUUGAGGGAUAACAAGAAUUUUAAAAAUCCAAAAAAAGGGCAGCAUGAUAAAUUCUAGAUGCAGAUCCGUUAUCCCUCUUGGUAUAUAGGAGCACUAUAUUCUAUGUUAACCUCCGACAGUAGGUAUAAACAAAUACUGUUGAUAGACGGUAUAUAGGAGCACUAUAUUCCAUGUUAACCACCGACGGUAGGUAUAGACAAAUACUGGUGAUAGACGGUAUAUAGGAGCACUAUAUUGUAUGUUAACCACCGACGGUAGGUAUAGACAAAUACUGUUGAUAGACGGUAUAUAGGAGCACUAUAUUGUAUGUUAACUACCGACGGUAGGUAUAGACAAAUACUGUUGAUAGACGGUAUAUAGGAGCACUAUAUUGUAUGUUAACUACCGACAGUAGGUAUAGACAAAUACUGUUGAUAGACGGUAUAUAGGAGCACUAUAUUGUAUGUUAACCACCGACGGUAGGUAUAGACAAAUACUGUUGAUAGACGGUAUAUAGGAGCACUAUAUUGUAUGUUAACUACCGACGGUAGGUAUAGACAAAUACUGUUGAUAGACGGUAUAUAGGAGCACUAUAUUGUAUGUUAACUACCGACAGUAGGUAUAGACAAAUACUGUUGAUAGACGGUAUAUAGGAGCACUAUAUUGUAUGUUAACCACCGACGGUAGGUAUAGACAAAUACUGUUGAUAGACGGUAUAUAGGAGCACUAUAUUGUAUGUUAACUACCGACGGUAGGUAUAGACAAAUACUGUUGAUAGACGGUAUAUAGGAUCAAUAUAUAUUGUAUGUUAACUACCGACGGUAGGUAUAGACAAAUACUGUUGAUAGACGGUAUAUAUAGGAGCACUAUAUUGUAUGUUAACCACCGACAGUAGGUAUAGACAAAUACUGUGAUAGACGGUAUAUAUAGGAGCAACUACCGACAGGUAGGUAUAGACAAUACUGUUGAUAGACGGUAUAUAUAGGAGCACUAUAUUGUAUGUUAACCACCGACGGUAGGUAUAGACAAAUACUGUUGAUAGACGGUAUAUAGGAGCACUAUAUUGUAUGUUAACUACCGACAGUAGGUAUAGACAAAUACUGUUGAUAGACGGUAUAUAGGAGCACUAUAUUGUAUGUUAACUACCGACGGUAGGUAUAGACAAAUACUGUUGAUAGACGGUAUAUAGGAGCACUAUAUUGUAUGUUAACUACCGACGGUAGGUAUAGACAAAUACUGUUGAUAGACGGUAUAUAGGAGCACUAUAUUGUAUGUUAACCACCGACGGUAGGUAUAGACAAAUACUGUUGAUAGACGGUAUAUAGGAGCACUAUAUUGUAUGUUAACUACCGACGGUAGGUAUAGACAAAUACUGUUGAUAGACGGUAUAUAGGAGCACUAUAUUGUAUGUUAACCACCGACGGUAGGUAUAGACAAAUACUGUUGAUAGACGGUAUAUAGGAGCACUAUAUUGUAUGUUAACCACCGACGGUAGGUAUAGACAAAUACUGUUGAUAGACGGUAUAUAGGAGCACUAUAUUGUAUGUUAACUACCGACAGUAGGUAUAGACAAAUACUGUUGAUAGACGGUAUAUAGGAGCACUAUAUUGUAUGUUAACCACCGACGGUAGGUAUAGACAAUACUGUUGAUAGACGGUAUAUAGGAGCACUAUAUUGUAUGUUAACUACCGACGGUAGGUAUAGACAAAUACUGUUGAUAGACGGUAUAUAGGAGCACUAUAUUGUAUGUUAACUACCGACGGUAGGUAUAGACAAAUACUGUUGAUAGACGGUAUAUAGGAGCACUAUAUUGUAUGUUAACUACACCGACGGUAGGUAUAGACAAAUACUGUUGAUAGACGGUAUAUAGGAGCACUAUAUUGUAUGUUAACUACCGACAGUAGGUAUAGACAAAAUACUGUUGAUAGACGGUAUAUAGGAGCACUAUAUUGUAUGUUAACCACCGACGGUAGGUAUAGACAAAUACUGUUGAUAGACGGUAUAUAGGAGCACUAUAUUGUAUGUUAACCACCGACGGUAGGUAUAGACAAAUACUGUUGAUAGACGGUAUAUAGGAGCACUAUAUUGUAUGUUAACUACCGACAGUAGGUAUAGACAAAUACUGUUGAUAGACGGUAUAUAGGAGCACUAUAUUGUAUGUUAACUACCGACAGUAGGUAUAGACAAAUACUGUUGAUAGACGGUAUAUAGGAGCACUAUAUUGUAUGUUAACUACCGACGGUAGGUAUAGACAAAUACUGUUGAUAGACGGUAUAUAGGAGCACUAUAUUGUAUGUUAACCACCGACGGUAGGUAUAGACAAAUACUGUUGAUAGAUGGUAUAUAGGAAGCAACUACCGACAGUAGGUAUAGACAAAUACUGUUGAUAGACGGUAUAUAGGAGCACUAUAUUGUAUGUUAACCACCGACGGUAGGUAUAGACAAAUACUGUUGAUAGACGGUAUAUAGGAGCACUAUAUUGUAUGUUAACUACCGACAGUAGGUAUAGACAAAUACUGUUGAUAGACGGUAUAUAUAGGAGCACUAUAUUGUAUGUUAACCACCGACGGUAGGUAUAGACAAAUACUGUUGAUAGACGGUAUAUAGGAGCACUAUAUUGUAUGUUAACUACCGACGGUAGGUAUAGACAAAUACUGUUGAUAGACGGUAUAUAGGAGCACUAUAUUGUAUGUUAACUACCGACAGUAGGUAUAGACAAAUACUGUUGAUAGACGGUAUAUAGGAGCACUAUAUUGUAUGUUAACCACCGACGGUAGGUAUAGACAAAUACUGUUGAUAGACGGUAUAUAGGAGCACUAUAUUGUAUGUUAACUACCGACAGGUAGGUAUAGACAAAUACUGUUGAUAGACGGUAUAUAGGAGCACUAUAUUGUAUGUUAACCACCGACGGUAGGUAUAGACAAAUACUGUUGAUAGACGGUAUAUAGGAGCACUAUAUUGUAUGUUAACUACCGACGUAGGUAUAGACAAAAUACUGUUGAUAGACGGUAUAUAGGAGCACUAUAUUGUAUGUUAACUACCGACAGUAGGUAUAGACAAAUACUGUUGAUAGACGGUAUAUAGGAGCACUAUAUUGUAUGUUAACUACCGACGGUAGGUAUAGACAAAUACUGUUGAUAGACGGUAUAUAGGAGCACUAUAUUGUAUGUUAACCACCGACGGUAGGUAUAGACAAAUACUGUUGAUAGACGGUAUAUAGGAGCACUAUAUUGUAUGUUAACCACCGACGGUAGGUAUAGACAAAUACUGUUGAUAGACGGUAUAUAGGAGCACACUAUAUUGUAUGUUAACCACCGACGGUAGGUAUAGACAAAUACUGUUGAUAGACGGUAUAUAGGAGCACUAUAUUGUAUGUUAACCCGACGGUAGGUAUAGACAAAUACUGUUGAUAGACGGUAUAUAGGAGCACUAUAUUGUAUGUUAACCACCGACGGUAGGUAUAGACAAAUACUGUUGAUAGACGGUAUAUAGGAGGACUGUAUUGUAUGUUAACCACCGACGGUAGGUAUAGACAAAUACUGUUGAUAUACGGUAUAUAGGAGUAUUGUAUUUUAUGUCAAACAUCGACGAUAGGUAUGGACAAAAUCCGACAAAUACUGUAUACAGACAGUGUAUAGAAGUACUGUAUUGUAUGGUAAACACUGACGGUUGGUAUGGACAAUUUCUGUAUCAUGCAUCAAUUGUAAAUAAAAGUAUCAUGUGAGUGACACAGGCUCAUUGAAGCCUCUAGUUUUGAUAUUAUUAAUGUGGAGAUCUGGUCUAAUUUAUCAUUUUCUCUAUUACAUGCAUGAUAACUGCAACAAUUGAAUUGAAAUAAAAGUGAUAAUAUUUCUGUUGUAGGUUAUCAAGAUUUAGUGUUUCCAUACAAGUGACAAAGAUUGAACAACAAAAACAUCUCAAACUUUACAGGACAGAGUAGACUUUUUUCACUGUGCUUAGUUUUGUCUUUAUGUCUAAAUUAUGAUACCUUUAAAAAACCAAUAAAAUAUGGAAU
Molecule: long non-coding RNA, 6558 nt
Filed under: Mytilus galloprovincialis (Mediterranean mussel)
Lineage: Eukaryota; Metazoa; Mollusca; Bivalvia; Mytilida; Mytilidae
Source: RNAcentral